UCCCAGUUGACUAGUCCCAAAUAGGACGAAACUCGCGUCCUGGAU
This 45-nucleotide non-coding RNA is filed under the name Schistosoma mattheei. The record is from RNAcentral. Lineage: Eukaryota; Metazoa; Platyhelminthes; Trematoda; Strigeidida; Schistosomatidae.